Molecule: ribosomal RNA, 502 nt
Filed under: uncultured bacterium
Lineage: Bacteria
Description: partial 16S ribosomal RNA
Rfam family: Bacterial small subunit ribosomal RNA
Source: RNAcentral
UAGGGAAUCUUGCGCAAUGGGCGAAAGCCUGACGCAGCCAUGCCGCGUGAAUGAUGAAGGUCUUAGGAUUGUAAAAUUCUUUCACCGGGGACGAUAAUGACGGUACCCGGAGAAGAAGCCCCGGCUAACUUCGUGCCAGCAGCCGCGGUAAUACGAAGGGGGCUAGCGUUGCUCGGAAUUACUGGGCGUAAAGGGAGCGUAGGCGGAUAGUUUAGUCAGAGGUGAAAGCCCAGGGCUCAACCUUGGAAUUGCCUUUGAUACUGGCUAUCUUGAGUAUGGGAGAGGUAUGUGGAACUCCGAGUGUAGAGGUGAAAUUCGUAGAUAUUCGGAAGAACACCAGUGGCGAAGGCGACAUACUGGCCCAUUACUGACGCUGAGGCUCGAAAAGCGUGGGGAGCAAACAGGAUUAGAUACCCUGGUAGUCCACGCCGUAAACGAUGAGUGCUAGUUGUCGGCAUGCAUGCAUGUCGGUGACGCAGCUAACGCAUUAAGCACUCCGCCU